CAGUGGUAGAGCAUAUGAC
Molecule: microRNA, 19 nt
Filed under: Mus musculus (house mouse)
Lineage: Eukaryota; Metazoa; Chordata; Mammalia; Rodentia; Muridae
Description: microRNA mmu-miR-1957a
Source: RNAcentral